Long non-coding RNA from Hibiscus syriacus, 154 nucleotides. RefSeq lists it as uncharacterized. The record is from RefSeq and is a predicted model, not a curated record. NCBI's taxonomy places the organism in Eukaryota, Viridiplantae, Streptophyta, Magnoliopsida, Malvales, Malvaceae. The transcript has 3 exons.
AAUGAAAACAUUAAAGAGAAAAAAAGAAGAGGGUUUUUGUACUAAAAGCCUACUUUAUAUGCAAAAUUUCAACAAUUCUCCGGUAAUCAUCUAAUUCAAAAGCAGCCCUUGAAAUGGAACCCAGGGUCUGGGUAUUUGGUGUCCACGUAUUCCC